RNAcentral lists this ribosomal RNA (303 nucleotides) under uncultured Gammaproteobacteria bacterium. RNAcentral describes it as "bacterial SSU rRNA". It matches the Rfam family "Bacterial small subunit ribosomal RNA", at positions 376 to 671 of the family's 1533-position model. Lineage: Bacteria; Pseudomonadati; Pseudomonadota; Gammaproteobacteria. The record is from RNAcentral.
CGAAAGCCUGACGCAGCCAUGCCGCGUGUGUGAAGAAGGCCUUCGGGUUGUAAAGCACUUUCAAUUGGGAGGAAAGGCUCACGGUUAAUAACCGUGAGUUGUGACGUUACCUUUAGAAGAAGGACCGGCUAACUCCGUGCCAGCAGCCGCGGUAAUACGGAGGGUGCAAGCGUUAAUCGGAAUUACUGGGCGUAAAGCGCGCGUAGGUGGUCUGUUAAGUCGGAUGUGAAAGCCCCGGGCUCAACCUGGGAACUGCAUCCGAUACUGGCAGACUAGAGUGCGGGAGAGGGAGGUAGAAUUCCA